This 497-nucleotide ribosomal RNA is filed under the name uncultured bacterium. Its description in RNAcentral is "partial 16S ribosomal RNA". It matches the Rfam family "Bacterial small subunit ribosomal RNA", at positions 28 to 507 of the family's 1533-position model. The record is from RNAcentral.
GAUGAACGCUGGCGGCGUGCCUAAUACAUGCAAGUCGAGCGAACGGACGAGAAGCUUGCUUUUCUGAUGUUAGCGGCGGACGGGUGAGUAACACGUGGGUAACCUACCUAUAAGACUGGGAUAACUUCGGGAAACCGGAGCUAAUACCGGAUAAUAUUUUGAACCGCAUGGUUCAAAAGUGAAAGACGGUCUUGCUGUCACUUAUAGAUGGAUCCGCGCUGCAUUAGCUAGUUGGUAAGGUAACGGCUUACCAAGGCAACGAUGCAUAGCCGACCUGAGAGGGUGAUCGGCCACACUGGAACUGAGACACGGUCCAGACUCCUACGGGAGGCAGCAGUAGGGAAUCUUCCGCAAUGGGCGAAAGCCUGACGGAGCAACGCCGCGUGAGUGAUGAAGGUCUUCGGAUCGUAAAACUCUGUUAUUAGGGAAGAACAUAUGUGUAAGUAACUAUGCACAUCUUGACGGUACCUAAUCAGAAAGCCACGGCUAACUACGUG